Molecule: ribosomal RNA, 499 nt
Filed under: uncultured bacterium
Lineage: Bacteria
Description: partial 16S ribosomal RNA
Rfam family: Bacterial small subunit ribosomal RNA
Source: RNAcentral
GAUGAACGCUGGCGGCGUGCCUAAUACAUGCAAGUCGAGCGAACAGACGAGAGUGCUUGCACUCUCUGACGUUGGCGGCGGACGGGUGAGUAACACGUGGGUAACCUACCUAUAAGACUGGGAUAACUUCGGGAAACCGGAGCUAAUACCGGAUAAUAUUUAGCUUCGCAUGAAGUAAUAGUGAAAGACGGUUCUGCUGUCACUUAUAGAUGGACCCGCGGUGUAUUAGCUAGUUGGUGAGGUAACGGCUCACCAAGGCAACGAUACAUAGCCGACCUGAGAGGGUGAUCGGCCACACUGGGACUGAGACACGGCCCAGACUCCUACGGGAGGCAGCAGUAGGGAAUCUUCCGCAAUGGACGAAAGUCUGACGGAGCAAUGCCGCGUGAGUGAAGAAGGUUUUCGGAUCGUAAAACUCUGUUGUAAGGGAAGAACAAGUACGUUAGUAACUGAACGUACCUUGACGGUACCUUACCAGAAAGCCACGGCUAACUACGUG